Cinara cedri is the source of this 1082-nucleotide non-coding RNA. The record is from the annotation of a GenBank genome assembly. NCBI's taxonomy places the organism in Eukaryota, Metazoa, Arthropoda, Insecta, Hemiptera, Aphididae.
CAUAGAAUUGUAUUAAGCGUUGAAAUGGGGCAAAAUGAAUUAUUUUUACCGGGAACAACCGCUGUACUCAAUACUACGUGGCCAACCGAAAUGAGUGCGAAUUAUCAGAGACAAAAAUAAGAGUUGAAAUUCUCCAAUGACUGUACGUGAUCUUUUCGUUACGCCAGCGACACGGCUUAAUCGUAUUUGGUAAGGUUACGUUUGUAUGAUGUACAUUGUGCAUGUUAUCUAUUAUAUUACGGCUUCGCUAGUUUACGAGUCGAUUAUAUUAUGAGUAUAUAAAUUGGAAGAGACCCGUGCACGCAUACAUAGUGUUGUUGCGAUGAUAUUGUGUAAUAUACGUUCACCCCGCACGGUCACGGAUGUAGCCUAAUCAGCAGAGCGUAUUGCGUCAAAGCUCGGGGAUUAUGUUUGCCGGCGGUUAUUAGAACGUAUUUGCAAAAAUAUCUCAGGCAUCACAUCAGCUGUGUGUAUAAAUUAUGUUAUUACGUUUACACAGUUCUAAGAACCGUGUAAAUACCGUUUAGACGUUGUUCGUCAAUAUGGUAUUUUAGUGCAUUAUACAUUAGAUAUUACGCAUUGCUUACAAAUGUUCGUCUUGAAAUAAUAAUAAAUCUAAGUCAUCGGUAUCAGUCGUAUAUCAGUCGUACACGGUCACCGCGUCGGCAUGUGUAAUGUUAUCUGGUCUGACAGUAAAUUUGAAACCCGAAUUAGAAUGUACGUUACCGCCGACUCCAUCUUUUUGGAUUUUGAGUUUUCUAUUACCACCACCAUUCAGUAUGCAAUUUAUUUGUAUUUGUUUGAACUUCCUACGACCGUUAUGAUUGAAAUACCAUAGAUAGAUUUGUAAUAAGUAUAUUAUUAUGUUUUCCAUUAAAUUUUAAAGACAAUAUUUUGUCACGCGUUCAUUAUCAAAUUGACAGGGGUUCUGUCAUAAAUGUAUUAUGCAAAGUACAGUUUUUAAUUUUAAGCAUAGAUUUUAGAUAUAUUGGUUUUACAAUGAUGUUUAGUUAUUUAUUUAUUUUUUUUUAUUUACUGUGCACAAAUAUUCUAUCAGAGUCUUGCUUUGUCAAACACCUUUC